Molecule: unclassified non-coding RNA, 1309 nt
Filed under: Hevea brasiliensis (rubber tree)
Lineage: Eukaryota; Viridiplantae; Streptophyta; Magnoliopsida; Malpighiales; Euphorbiaceae
Source: RNAcentral
AGCGCAAACUACUUAGGCGGAGUUCUGUUAUAAUCUUAUCUCCAAUACCUUAAUCUAAGGUUUUGAUCGAUCAAAGCUCAUGCUUCUUUACCAAUGAUACAAUUACUACUAAUAGUUUCCUAAUGUUAUUAUGUAGACAAAUUUAAUACAUCACUCUUUUCCUUUGAUAUACUUGCUGCUGUAGAAAUAUAAAUAAUGUAUGUUAUUGAAACUUGAAAACGCUGAAUUGUUCAAUAGUAAUGAUCAUAUUCUCAACUUUUACUUUUGGGCUUGAGCAGAUAACUAGAAUAUGAACAUCCUGUUUUGUUUUCUAGCUUUGCCAUCAAGUAUCCAAAAGGUUUGCUUUUAGACAUGACCAUUUUAAAGGGAAAAAAGAGCUAGAGAUUUUGGUCCUCCCUUGCAUCAAGCCAACAAUUUCUCUGUGUUUCUGUUAAAAGAAUGCAUUUGGCUCAAAAUAUGAUCAUAACUUGCUCUGAAGAAAACAUGCUUGAUUUCUGAUUUGUGCCACAGAUGAACUUGAUUGCAAACCUGAAAAACCCAUAUAUUGUGGAGUAUAAAGAUUCUUGGGUGGAAAAGGUAAACAGUUAAACAUAUAUUUUCUUUACAAUGACAUAGGAAUAAUCAAUGUCUUUGAGACUCUUAUAGACUCUAAACAAAUGUGCAUGCUGUGCCUAUAAGAAAAAUCUUUAUGCAUUUUUUGCUAUUCAGGGAAGUUGUGUGUGCAUAGUGACAGCCUACUGUGAAGGUGGAGACAUGUAAGUAGCCAUGAAUUAUUUAUUAUUGUCUUUGAUGAUUUUGGCCUAGUCAAAAUGUUAAAAACGUUAAAUGCUUUAGAAAACCAAAAUACAAAUUUUUCAGAGAUGACUGUCUUUUUAUAAAUUACAUAGGAAUACAAUUUUUUCCUCCUGGAGUGAGGAACCAUCCUCUUCCUGAUAGUUAUAGGCUUAUUGCCUUGUAUUAAAAAGCAAUUGAAAAGCUUUAUAUGCUGUCUCAUCAGAAAUUUAAAGUUCAUGAAAAUUUUCAUCUAGAAAAUAGACAUUUAAAAAAUAUUUUUUAACAAAAAUACCAUAAAAAUUAAUAAGUUAAAAAAUGAAAAAGCAUUUCAGAACAUUUUUCAUGAAAGAUUAAAUGAACUUUCUUUCCUCUUUUUCAAAAAGGGCUGAGAUUAUAAAGAAGGCAAGAGGCAUUUUUUUCCCAGAAGAGGUAACCUGUAAGAUUUUCGUAUAAUUGGAGUUCUUUAUUUGUUCUUUCAUUUUAUCAACAUGGUUACAAUGUUUUGCUCCUCAGAAACUCUGCAAAUGGUUGACUC